UACGGAGGGUGCAAGCGUUAAUCGGAAUUACUGGGCGUAAAGCGCACGCAGGUGGCUGAGUCAGUCGAUUGUGAAAGCCCUGGGCUUAACCUGGGAAUUGCAGUCGAUACUACUCAGCUAGAGUAUGGGAGAGGGUAGUGGAAUUCCCGGUGUAGCGGUGAAAUGCGUAGAUAUCGGGAGGAACAUCGGUGGCGAAGGCGGCCUGCUGGGCUCUUGCUGACACUGAGGCGCGACAGCGUGGGGAGCAAACAGG
RNAcentral lists this ribosomal RNA (253 nucleotides) under uncultured bacterium. RNAcentral's name for it is "partial 16S ribosomal RNA". It matches the Rfam family "Bacterial small subunit ribosomal RNA", at positions 524 to 776 of the family's 1533-position model. The record is from RNAcentral.